This 434-nucleotide ribosomal RNA is filed under the name uncultured bacterium. RNAcentral's name for it is "partial 16S ribosomal RNA". It matches the Rfam family "Bacterial small subunit ribosomal RNA", at positions 29 to 507 of the family's 1533-position model. The record is from RNAcentral.
AGCGAACGCUGGCGGCAGGCCUAACACAUGCAAGUCGAACGAACCUUUCGGGGUUAGUGGCGGACGGGUGAGUAACACGUUGGAACGUGCCUUUAGGUUCGGAAUAACUCAGGGAAACUUGUGCUAAUACCGAAUGUGCCCUUCGGGGGAAAGAUUUAUCGCCUUUAGAGCGGCCCGCGUCUGAUUAGCUAGUUGGUUGAGGUAAUGGCUCACCAAGGCGACGAUCAGUAGCUGGUCUGAGAGGAUGAUCAGCCACAUUGGGACUGAGACACGGCCCAAUCUCCUACGGGAGGCAGCAGUGGGGAAUCUUGCGCAAUGGGCGAAAGCCUGACGCAGCCAUGCCGCGUGAAUGAUGAAGGUCUUAGGAUUGUAAAAUUCUUUCACCGGGGACGAUAAUGACGGUACCCGGAGAAGAAGCCCCGGCUAACUUCGUG